AGCAGUGGGGAAUUUUGGACAAUGGGCGAAAGCCUGAUCCAGCAAUGCCGCGUGAGUGAAGAAGGCCUUCGGGUUGUAAAGCUCUUUUGUCAGGGAAGAAACGGUGAGAGCUAAUAUCUCUUGCUAAUGACGGUACCUGAAGAAUAAGCACCGGCUAACUACGUGCCAGCAGCCGCGGUAAUACGUAGGGUGCAAGCGUUAAUCGGAAUUACUGGGCGUAAAGCGUGCGCAGGCGGUUUUGUAAGUCUGAUGUGAAAUCCCCGGGCUCAACCUGGGAAUUGCAUUGGAGACUGCAAGGCUAGAAUCUGGCAGAGGGGGGUAGAAUUCCACGUGUAGCAGUGAAAUGCGUAGAUAUGUGGAGGAACACCGAUGGCGAAAGCAGCCCCCUGGGUCAAGAUUGACGCUCAUG
RNAcentral lists this ribosomal RNA (409 nucleotides) under uncultured bacterium. RNAcentral's name for it is "bacterial SSU rRNA". It matches the Rfam family "Bacterial small subunit ribosomal RNA", at positions 350 to 751 of the family's 1533-position model. The record is from RNAcentral.